UAGGGAAUCUUCGGCAAUGGGGGCAACCCUGACCGAGCAACGCCGCGUGAGUGAAGAAGGUUUUCGGAUCGUAAAGCUCUGUUGUAAGUCAAGAACGGGUGUGAGAGUGGAAAGUUCACACUGUGACGGUAGCUUACCAGAAAGGGACGGCUAACUACGUGCCAGCAGCCGCGGUAAUACGUAGGUCCCGAGCGUUGUCCGGAUUUAUUGGGCGUAAAGCGAGCGCAGGCGGUUUGAUAAGUCUGAAGUUAAAGGCUGUGGCUCAACCAUAGUUCGC
Molecule: ribosomal RNA, 277 nt
Filed under: uncultured bacterium
Lineage: Bacteria
Description: partial 16S ribosomal RNA
Rfam family: Bacterial small subunit ribosomal RNA
Source: RNAcentral